RNAcentral lists this long non-coding RNA (14976 nucleotides) under Ananas comosus (pineapple). RNAcentral's name for it is "long non-coding RNA (ACOM_LNC043360)". Lineage: Eukaryota; Viridiplantae; Streptophyta; Magnoliopsida; Poales; Bromeliaceae. The record is from RNAcentral.
AAAAAAAAUAAAAUACUAACUCAUAUUUCACACCUUUAAUUUUUCCGUGUCAUUCGCUUUCUUUCAAAUAAAUAUCAGAAAUUGAAAAAAAUUUAGUUCCACCACCAUACAAAUAAAUACCAGAAGAAAAUUAAUUUUUAUUUGAAUUUCAGUUUCAUUCAAAAGUUUACUUCAAUCUCAAUUUCAUUUUCGGUGAAACAAAUAGACCACAGGUGUAAGAAGGUAAAAUGUACAGAACAUAUCUCAAUUAUAGACCAUUUUAAAUUGACUAUCAAAUCUUUUAAAAUUUUAAUUUUAUUGUCCAAUCUGUUAAUUUGUUUGAUUGACUCUGUCAGCAAUACUUUAAUUUCAAAUUUUGAAUACGCCGUUAUCUUUACCAGUUCAAUUAGUAUACUUCAUACAAUUCUCGCUACUAUAAUUUUAUUAAAGUGAACAGUUAACUUAAAUUUUGAGAUUAAAGGUCGCCAACUGACUUAUAUCAAACAAAUUGAAAGAUUAAAUAGUAAAUUCAAAAUUUUGAAUUUCAAGAUAAUACAUUAGGUCAGGUAAGUUAUACACUUGUUUAGCGUGCAAGAAUCACUCUCCACUCACUAAUAAAGGUUACUAUUUUCGUAGUAGUAUUAUUAACUUUUUUUCUUUUAAUACUAAAAAGAAUUUUGUGAACCCUAACACCCCGUUUGGAUUGAAUAUAAGAUGGGUUUGGAUUGAAUAUAAGAUGGGGUAUAAAGGCCUUAUACCCCAUCUUGUACCCAAACGCAAUUUGGUUAAGGUGAGAACUAUACGGAUUAUUCUAGAAAUAACCCGUUAAGGAUGGAAACUAUAGUUCUCAUCCCGAGUGGGAACAAGCUUAGGAACAAGCUUGUUCCCACCCACUUGGGUAGAGAGAGAGAGAGAGAGAGAGAGAGAGAGAGAGCCACGUGUCAGUUUCGGAGUUUUAGGAAUCGGGUCGGGUUCAGAUUUAAACUGAACAGGCCCCAAGAGCACUGAGCACCCUGUUUUGCACGUAGUUUAACAAAUUACGUCGUGGGCCUCGUGGCUUGGGGCUAUGGCUCAGUUUAGAUUUAGAUGCAUGAAAAUCGUUUUUUAGACUCUCCUUUUGUAAUUUAUGACCCUGUAUAACUGUAUAAAUAUCAAUAUUAUCAAUGUGAAUAUAUAUUGGCUUAUUUAUUAUAUAUUAAUAUUAAUUAUAUAAAAAUUGACAUUUAUAAUAAUUGAUAUGUCAGAUAUGACAUAAAUAUGGAUAUAGGUUGUUUUACCCACUUUAGUCAACUUGUUUAAUGUAACUAGUUAUGGUGCGCACAUAAGUAAAAAGUGAUUAGACCCGCCGGGUGCCUACUGCACCACCUGGCUUAGGUGGUUUAUGAAGGUGAUUCAGAGCGCACAGGAGAGAGUGCACGGUUUUCGUUGCUGGCGCCUGGGGUAACCGAACGGGCUAAGGCAGGGUUUAGGAGAGAGUGGGUGCGAGUUGUGGGUUAGGGGGGUGGAGGUAAUUACCGCCGGAGAGGGAAGAGGAAGAGAGGCAGGGCGAGGAAAGGAGGAGAGGCGAGGAAGCAGGGGCGGUACCGAGCGAGGAAGAGGAGGAGCAGCGGGUUUGUGUUACCUCUGCUAGGGGUCCUUGGGAGAGAGAGCUGGGAGCUCUAGCACCCGCGCGCGGCGCGGGAGGAGAGGUCGAAGCGCUCGAACUUCUUCGGGAUGUUUGGGAAGGGGGAGUAUCGCACCUUAGCGGUACACCUCUGCUAGAAGCGGCGCAAGAAGGCGAGGCAGGGGCUGCAGCGGGAGGCGGCGCUCACGGAGUCCUGCUCGCUGCUGCCGCGGCAGCGGGAGCUAACCCAGAGGCCGCUGCUAGCGGCCGAGGGGAAGCUAAGGGGGCACGAGUAAGAGGACCAGUCCAGGGCAAAGACUAGGAAGAAAAUUUAAGAGUAGAGUCAAAACUAAACUACGUUGCCGAUCUAGGAAGAUCAUGACACACUACUCACAAUGCUUACAAAGGCAUCAUAUAAAGAGAAUCAAGAUACUCCAGGUGCCAAGUAAUACGUACACUUGUCUCACAAUUCCGAUAAAGAAUUGACAAAAGCCAAUCUAGCUACAAAACCCACUGGUACUUAGUCUCAGUAACUCAUAACGGACAGUAAAGGUAAGAUAAGCAGGAAGGACAUAACGCGAAAAAGUGACUUUAAAACGACGAAUACAGUUAAAGCAAGAAGACGGUAAGAUGCAUCAGAUACGUGUCAGCGUAUUGCGAACAACACGACUAGCACCGUUGACAACAACAAUAAACGUCGGACCAGAUUGUCCUCCCUCACUACUAUGUAUACACUCCGUAUACGAACAUGCUCGAUCUUUAUUUCCUACCGCGCAGCACCAUAAGUUGUCGGCGCCAACACGGCUAUCAGGACACUGUUGGGGUGUCCAUAACCGUUAUACUGAAACUUUUUACAUUGUGGAAACGAAAACGUGAAUUAAAAAUUUUUCUUAUCUGUUUCGUGAUCACAAGAACACAAAGAAGAUGCGGAAAUUGAAGAUACGAGAGAUUAUGGAACACACGUACCGUUUUGCAAGGUACAGUCUGAAUUUUACAAAGCUUUAAGACUAAAACAAACGGUGCCACUUCCAAGGACAUUCGUGCUAGUAGUUGUACUCGUGAAACCUCGGAUAAGAAAUAAAUAAGUAAAAUAUGAAACGUACAUUCUAGUCGUAAGUUCAAUAACUGUGAAACUUUCAUUCGAGUGAAACCUUGGACAAGAAAUAAAUAAGUAAAAUAUGAAACGUACAUUCUAGUCGUAAGUUCAAUAAUUGUGGAACUUUCAUUGAGUGACCAUUUUUACAACAUUCGAAACCAGAGUAGAUAACCAACCUUCGUGCUUUGUAUAUAAGCUAACAAAUCCGACUUAUCUGACAGAAAUGCCCAUGUCAGUCAGUGGAUUUCCGUUCCCCAAUUUUAAACACUAGCCUUAAAGAGACCAAUAUACGUCAAGAUAAGUCGAAGAAAGUGCUUUCUAGAAAGUGUUCAACAACUAGUACAUCGUUUCGCAAUAGGUUUUAGUUUAUAUAUACGACAACCGACCAGGGAACCUCGUUUAUAAGAACAAGCGAUGGAACCAGUCCACUCAAAAUUAGAAAAUACAAAAGUCACCACUUAUACCACACACUUUAUAUACAACGAAACAGAACAAUAUACGAAAAGUUCGAACAAAGACGUCAACAGAAUUAACAAGAAUAGAAUAGAUGAAAUACUUCUUUCUCGUAAGAAUAGUGCAAAUCAUGUGAUUUAAUUUUUCACUGAUUAAUUGACGACUAGUCUUUUAUUUAACGAUCCUUCAUUAUUAUACCCCUCUACAUACUAACUACCUAUAUUUGAUCUGGUGAUUCGUUCUGGUAGUAGUCGUGGUACUCUUUAAUUGUGCAUUUACCUACCCCGCUCGAACUCUAACUCUAACUGAAGUACUCGAAAUCCGGAAGACGACUUCGAACCCCGUAAAUUUCAUUUUCCUACGUGCCAACAGUAUUGGUGCGAUCAACACAAAGACGUUAUAGGACGAUUAUAAUAUAAGGGAAUUAGAAUAGAAGGAAGAAAGAACGAUGUUCCUGAGUAAAAAUACGAUAAUAAAAGAACAUCUACAAAGUGGAUUAAAGAGACAAACGUCCUUAGAGUAUCGACAGGAGAAAGACCUCGUCACAGGAAUACAUUGGGGAAGUUAAACCAUUAACGUCUACUUCUGAAGGUAUUUCCGAAGUUAUUAUAUAUACUAUCUCGAGAACGAUCUCGAGACGCUUUAUAUAAAUUUUUCAUUUGGUAUAAAACGGAGAAAAAGAAACUAGAACCUUACUACCAAUCUCUUCGGGCCGUCAAUUAUAUAUCAAUUUAAGGUAAAGACACUUAGAAGUCUGUACGUGAAGACAAACUUCCAGAACUUCCACUUAUGUUAUAUGGCUACCGUCGCUCACGGUUUAGACAGUCUCUAAAACUGCUUCCCAAUUGUGCACCACUUAUAUUUUAGUGAUGACAAAACAAGAAAGUAAAAUUAAACAGGUCAAUAAAGGUGAUUACUUUUGAACGCAUAGACGUCAAAGUAAACCAAAAUCCAGCCACCUACUCAUAAUGAGUUUGAGUUCGUCAAGUUCAAGGUAGCUCGUACAAUCUUGUGGAAAUAACACGUAUGUCCAAUAAAACUUUUGAGGUUUGUGACGAAGUGAUGGAAUGUAAACCUCUUCAUAAUUUUAUAACUAUCUCUGAUAAUGUUCAAAUUUUGUAAUGAUGAGCGUAAACCUCUUCAAGGAAUUAAAACCGUACUAACGAUAUAAAAGACAAGAAUGUGAUAAGUCCGACGAUGACUAGGUUAACGUGGUAGUUCCCCUUAAGGAGCACUUCUUUAGUUCCAUAAAAGAAAACCAUAUCUCUGAUAAAAAGGACGAGUGAAUAAUUGAGUACAUGUGUAUUUGACCUAAGAUACGAUUCCGGAAAUCGAACAAAUACAGUGUGUGUAGGCAAGUAUUAACGAAUGAAUAUAUGUUGAAAAUGACAGGGAAAGACGAAUAAAACAGUAUAGUAAGGAAAUGAUACUUAAAUACAGACGAUGUUUAAUAAAUGUCACAAGUAUAUAGAUUGAAUCGCACUUUAAUUGUUUGAUUAGAAGAGGGGAAGAUAAGAUCCUCUUAGGUUUGACAGAGGAAUAUCAAUGAGGUGUUCCACCCGUAGAACCCACCCAUCGUCCACUACUUCGAGGUAAACCGCGAGGAACCUGACUGGGACACCAUUACCUUAAAGACCUCAUAGACGUGUUUCUUUCUCGGUGUUCGUGGGUUUUGUCGAUGACCCUACUCGAUUUACCACGAUCUUUUAGUAGCUCAAGACAGUGACAAGUAUAUGCUUCAAUUCUAAAGGUACUUUGAUAACGUUCAGAACGGUAACGUAGCUGAAAACAACACACUAUUGUGUGACAAAAGAGCGGUUCUCCUAAAUGGAGGUCUCCAUUUCAUGAAAUACCGGGAAAAGUAAAACUAAUGGGACGAGGAUUAACGCCUUAAACUUCGUUUGUUAUACUUCAACUUAUGCUUUGAGUAAGAAGGAGAAAACGGGGGAAGACCCUACAGAGUCCAAGAACUGUUCCCACAGGUUUCUUCUCCAGCCUUUUAUCUUAAAGAACACAACAAGUUCACGGAGACCGAUACGAUUUCAUUUUCUAGCAGUCCAAUCUUUAUAGGUAAAAAAGACAGGUAUGAAAGAGUUAAAGGAAAAGAAAAUAGAAACAGUCGGGAGUAAACAAUCGGUUAGACAAUGAGAGACUAAAGGACCCCGAAAUCUUUUAUACGAUACUUCAACAUAAUAAACUUUACUAUAAGGUGUUGGUAGUAAUUAAUGAGCCUAAGUUAUGUUUUAACAGUAGUCGUUCUAAAAGUAGAAUAACUAGAGCUCGAUGACUACAAUCGAUAUUAAAGUAGAGUUCAUAAUUAAACGGAGUACAAACGAUGAGGGAUGAAAACCACCGAUGUUGUACAAGGUUUCGUCGAAUUUCAUACACGUCAAUUUGAAAAGUCGUACAUAUUCAACCUAGAUAAGCAUAAGGCAAUUCACACAAAAGCCUACAACUACCAAGCAUAUACUGUGAUGUUUUCCAAAGUUAGCAUGGAACGCGUCUGUAAGUUAAACUAAGUUCAACCUAGAUAAGCAUAAACCGUCUAUAGUCGAAGAGAAACUGAAACAAGUUUAAGACCUUUUAGAACAGUUGAAGUCUUUUACUUCGAGGAGUCACGAAAAAUUGUAAAAGUUUAAUUCUAUGAGUGUAGAUGGCUACCCGUUAACUAAGUCCCCAAGACCAGCAAGUGAGAAAAAAUAUAAUCCAAACCCGCUCGAUGAUGAAGCCAAGAACGAGUACGAAUUCGGACCAUACCUUUACAUAAAAGAGUAUACGUGAAUACAAUAACGAUACCAGAUACCUACUAGAACUUUUUUAUGGAAUACGAGAAGAAUACGCUUCGUAGGUUAAAACACGGUAAAAAAGCUGAAACGGGGUCUUCAAAGAUGGGAAACGUAACACGAACAUCUUCAACCGUAGGGUCUUCCCACCCUCCCACGUUAAAGUCACUGAUCAUCACGUUUUCAUACCUAACUUUAUUUUGAACAUCACGUUAAAUGAUCAAACUUUCAGCCUAUUGAAUAAGCAAUAUUUUUAAGAAAAUCAUACUAACGUUCUUUUCAAAAAUUAAAAAACGAGGAAUUUUUAAUAACUAAAAAAAAAAAAAUAGAUGCUCUAUUAAUAAAAUAAACUCUUUUUGUUGAAUUUUCCGAUUUAUACCAUAAAGUAAAAUGCUAUAAACUAAUGUAGGUAAACAGUUUACAAUUUCAAAGAAAUUAUUGAGACCCUCUAUAUGGAUAGUUNNNNNNNNNNNNNNNNNNNNNNNNNAAAAACCGUAGUGAUUGACUUGCUAGUUUCCCAGUGUUUUAGAUAUUAAAAUUACCGGCUAUACCACGCAAACGAGCAAAUUGCCAUAUCUUCUUAAGUUUAGUUGAUUUAAAAAUAAUUUUUAAAAAAAUUUGAUAAAUUUUAUUCUAGAUCUGAGAUCUAGAGUUUAUAUUUUUAACAUAGUAGUGAAAAACUUCCUAUAAGUAAAGGUCGGUAAGUAAAAAGACAAGUGAACUACCUGUUCUCUUGUUAUAGCUUUUACACACUUUAAACUAAAGGUCUAUCAAAUUUAUCAAAUCUAGUACAAAUUGCCACGGCUAGUAGUUAAACCUUCGAGAUAGUAGCUUUUGUUUAGCCAUCAUUUAGCUCGGCAAAUGAUGGCUAUCAUAAGAUUGUUUUGAGAUAUAUAUAUAUCACAUCUUGAUGAUACAAUAGCUUUUAUAUCUCCUAAACUAUAAAAGCUUAAAAACUGGGAAACUAAUUCUUAACGUACCAACCCUACUAACGCUAGGGGGGAUCCUAAUUUAUUAUAGGGAUCUUAACUCAUCAGGGAUGUUCUAUUAUUAUCAUAAUUAAGUUUCUUUACUAAUCAACUAGAUUUUUAAUUUUUAGCUUUUUAAUUUUUUAGCUUUCGUAGUAUAGGAGAUAUGAAAGCUAUCGUAUCACACACACACACACAUAUAUAUAUAAGCUCGCAAAGCUCGGAUUAAGCUUGCUCGGCUCAUUAUGAGUUCGAGCCGAACUUUACUUAAAGCUCGGAAAAAAAAACAAGUUCGAGCCGAGUAAAUUAAAGCUCAGCUCGAGCUCGCUCGGUUUAUAGCUCAGCUUGCGCUCAGCUUGUGCUCGGCCGAGCGAGUAAACGGUCGGGAUCUACUGUCAGAGGCAUGGAUUCAUUCUCUUUAAUUUUUUUUUUUCCUUUUUCUUUUUUCUUUUUCCCGAACUUUACCAAGAGAUUUGGAUUUGUACUUGAUAGUGUAUUAGUUCGAGUGUCUACAUUAAUUUGUGUCCUUUUUCUUUUUCCUUCUUUUCACAUUCGUUUUAGUUAGUGGUAUUAAAACGAGGGUUUGUUCGAACACUAGAACUUGGUGAGACUUUGUUGGUGAUAUAAAAAUUUAAGUAAUUCGUGCUAAAGGUCUUGUAUAUAUUCGCGUAUUUUAUAGAUUAUUUUUUCUUCUUUUUUAAGAUUCAUGUAUGUUGAUCGGGUGUGAAGAUCCCUGAAAUCGAUAAAAAUUGAGAAAACUCGCAUAGUUUGCCAUAUGGUGUAUUUAUCCGGUCAUCCGGUGAUGUGAUGUUAGAUACCUAAGACUAUAAUAAAUAAUGCUUUAAAACCGACUCGAGUUCGGGUGUAUCUGGGUUGUUACACUGUAUAGUAAUCUUAGGUUAGUUGGACUUUUGAUUUGGGAUAAGGCGUAGUUAAAUCGUCAUAUUUAUUUAGAAAUUGGAAAAAGUGAUGAAAUGAACAACAUCCUAAUAAAUACAAACUCGAGAAUCGGUUUUUCUUUAUUUUUUUUAUCGGUUUCUUUCUCUCUUUUCCCGAGCUCCCGGGUUUUUCGGUCUUGAUCAGGUUUUGUGUGGUUAAUAUUCGUGGAGGGAUUAAAAACUCUUUCUUUAUUUUUACCCGGUAACUCUAGGUCCGAUGAAACUGGUACAUUUUACGGGGUCGUAUUACAUGUUUUUUUUUCUUCAAAGAAAACAAAACAAAAAAGAAAAUAACUCUCUCUCUCUCUCUCUCUCUCUCUCUCUCUCUCUCUCUCUCUCUUCCUCGUAUAAAAUUCUUAUUUAUGUAUAUAUUUACACUUCAUUGGAAAUCCGAAUCAAACCAAGCAUUUAAUCAUCCUUGAUCAAUAAAGUCCCUAUCCAUAUUCAUACCUAAAAACAUUCUUAGUCCCAUAAAAAAAAUAAACCUAAUUUUAUAAUCAUAUUCGACCUUGAUCUUUUUAACAUAAACCUAUCAAUAAACCUUAUUCUUUUUAUCAACUACUAAUAUUUAUCUUUUAUUAAUCAUGAAAUUUGAUUUUUAGAUAAUUUAAAUGGUCUAGAUCAUGUUCAACGGUGCCGAUCGUCGAUUUGGAAGCUCUAUAAUCAAAAACAAAUCGGUAGUAAACCGAGCAGUUUACUACCGAUAGUAGCCCAUCCAAACUCUAUACAUAUAUAUAUAUAUUAAAAAAUAUAAAAAUAUAAUAUAUUUUAAUUAUAUAUAGGCUCAGUGAAUAAUCUAAGUUAAAAUUGGGCCAAUAUUGUUGACCCAUAAAAACAAACCCAAUAGACAAAUAAAAGAGCAAAAUUUUACUAAAUUUAUACAUUUUUCCUUUCUUUCUUUCUUUCACAGAGCUAUAAUUUUUCAAUAUGUUUCUCUCUUUCUCUUUUUCUGUCUCUCACCCUACGUGGCCAAGCCGGAAGCCCUCCAAGUUACCAAGUAGCAGCAUAUGCCCGCCGUUGCCUAUCUUGCUAUUAAUUAUAUACUUGAGAAAAUAUACAGAAUAUUUUUAAAGUAAAAAAUUAUUAUUCAUAUAAAAUUUUAAUUUUAAUUAUAUAUAAUUGGAUAGUUUAAUCCAAUAUUUAUCUAUAUAAUUUAUUUAUUUUUGACUACAUAAAUGAAAAUAAAUAAUAUAGAGAUUGAAGGCAGAAGAAAAGAUAUGUGAGACUGAAAAUAUUAGAUAUUCAACUCAUAAUUUUUUUUUCAUAUUAUAAUACUAUAUUUUAUAUAAUUAUUUUAUACUUUCAACUAUUAGACAUAUUUUUGUAUCAAAUUAUAGAUAAUGUUCUAUACAAAUUAAACUAUUGAUCGUAUGAUGUUGAGAAUUUCAAGCGGCUCGUUUAGGGCUCGAGCUCGGCUCGAAUUAAUUUCAAUCCAAGCUUGAGCUUAAAUUUAGGCUCGAAAUUAAUUUCAAGCCGAAUUUGAGAUGAGGUAAGCUCGCUCGAGCUCGGCUCGUUUCCACCCUAGUGUCAUCUAUAUUCCCUAUUUUUAUCUAUAUAUUAAGUUUUAAGAAUACUUGCAUAUUUUUCUUAUCUAUUUUUAUCUAUAAUCCAUUUAGGGUGCCAUCAGGCAUCUGGAACUCGCUAAUGUGUUGGAAUGAAUACGAAAAAGAUGUUUGUCGGUCGGACGGCAUUUAAUUUGAGAAGAACUUGUGAUGUUUUUGUGGCUUGCUUUGAGGGCAACAAGAAUGGUCGGUCUGAUAUAUAUGAAACGAAAUGUACUUCUCUAUAGAGAAAUUGUUUGUUGGGAACUCGUGGAGUUUAACGAACAAUUCAAUACAAGACAUCAUGCUGAAUAUAGUAAGGCUCGCAAGGAGCACGCAUGGCUAAAACAUCUAUAUUGAUAUUUUACCGUUUCCCAAUCAAAACUCAGAAAGGCUGGUCUAAAUGUGCGGUACUUAGAAGCCGCACAUAAAUCCACAUGCCAAAUCAAUUUGUUCUUAUCUUUAUUAAAAAAAGAAAACGAGCUUUUCAUUGUUGACUUAAAUGGACCAGCAUUCUGUCCUGUGGCGGAAGGCUAUAUUGGGUCGAGUCAUGUUCGAAAUGGCGUGAGGCUGAAUGGGCCGAGUCAUGUUCGAAGUGAUGUGAGGGUGAUUGGGCCGAGUCACAAUCGAGAUCCGUGGAUGCUGUAUCUGUACGCUUUAAGUGAAUUGAUUGCGUAAUUCUAACAGCUCGAGCUUUUGGGAUUAAUGGUUAGCGCGAACGAUCCAACACUCAUCACUUUCCCCCUAUUUACCCUCUUUUUUAAAAAAAAAAAAAUUGUAAUCAAUGAUGGAUCAUUUAUUUAUGGGAAAACUUCAAAUACCCUCCAUUUGGUUUUACAGUUUCUCACUUUAGUACUCUGUGGUUUAAAGUGUAUCGCCAUGUGGUUUCGCACUUCUCACUUUAGUACCCUAUGGUUUAAAAUGUAUAAAGUUAGUACUCUGUGGUUUCAUUUUUGUAUCAAGUUAGUACCCUGUGGUUUUAUUUUUCUCUUUUUAUUAUCCAUUUCGGAGUUUUUUUUUUUGUUAAAUCAGUGACAAAGUUAAAACUAAAGGGUACUAAAAUGAAUAUUCGAUAAACCUAGGUAGAGUAUUUGAAGUUUUUUUGUAUAUAAUUUAACGAAAUAUUAAACCAUAAGGUACUAAAGUGAGAAAGUGCAAAACUAUAGAUUACUAACUUGAUACACUUUAAAUUAUAUAGUAUUAAAAUAAAAAAGUACGAAAAUACAGGGGUAUUUGAAGUUUUUUCUUUAUUUAUUUAUUUACAUCAUGUGUUCAAUGCUCAGCCGCCCACCAACCUCUUGUUUUCUCAACGAACGCGCGUGGUACGCGUGCUGGCAAGUCAAUUCUUGGAGUGCGACCAUUGAUUUCUUCAUCCUCCAACUCCCUCCAUUAUUUUUUUCGCCUCCUAUACUCCACUCUACUCACAUUUAUUAAAAGCAUAUGGUACUGCUUCGUGCUCAAAAUUUAUCAUUACAUUACAUGUUGUGACAUAUGGAUCAUAAAAUAUAUAUAUAUAUAUAUAUAAUUAUUAUUUUAUUUAGAUUAUAUAAAUAAACAUAACAAUGUAUUAUAUAACCGCUGCAUAAUUACUAUUAUAUUAUGUUUCGAGCUCUGCCUAUUGCCACAUCAGCAAUACGUUACCGUUCAGACAACUAAGGGGCCGUUUGGUUGUAUGUAGUUACAAAAAUAGUAUAGUUAGAAAUAUAUGCAGUUGUAAAUACUACAGUCAUAACUGCUGCAGUUACAUUUUUUCUGUUUGGUAGUCUACAGUUGAGAUUUACAUUUAUAAAUUCUGUCAAAUUUUAGAUAGAAAAGUAAGAUUAUCUCUUUUGAGUGUAACGUAAUCAUGUUUUAAUUAUUAAUUAAGAUUUUUAUAUCUAUAUAUAAUUUAUAUAUUAUAAAAUUAUGUAUGAAUUUAAUAAAUUUUAAAUGCAAAUAUAUUAUAGAUUUGGUCAAAAUAAAAAUUAAGAUAUUAUUAAACUAGCAGAUUGAAAAAAAUAAAGCAUAUGAAAAAAAAUUUAUUAACCCUAACAAAUAUUAUUAAACCCUACCAGAUUUCAUGAAUAGAUAUUUUUGGAAAAAAAAGAAGCGUAUGAAAAAAAAAAAUCACAUUUUGUUUAUUUUUUUAAUGGGUGAGCUCACUCCGACCCAACUGCUGCAGUUGAGUCUUAUCGUGCAGAUGCAACUGUAGCAGUUUGACCUAACUAUACCAAACCAAAUAAAAAUUUAAUAAAUGCGUGCAUUUCCAACUGCAGUGCAAUUAAAAAUGCACGUAUUAACCAAACAACCCCUAAAUUGAACUAUGCCAUUUACUUAUAAUAACUUAAAAAGCUUAGAUCAAACAAUUAUAAUAAAUUAAAAUUUGAUGAUCAAAGUGUCACGCAUCUCAUAACUUGAUCACCGAAAGUAUAAUUUAAUCAAUUUAUAAAAAAUCAACGUAGAAAAAUCCUAAUAUCUUUUUAUAUUUAUAUACAUACACAAUACCUCCGGUGAGCUAGAUUUUGAUUUUUAAAGUUUCUUCACAGCUUUUUAAAAUGUGUAUCCUACAAUACUAUUAAUAAUGUGGCAAUAUCAUUAUUACGUCCUAAUCAUUAAUUACUAAUAUCUAAAUACUAUUAUUAAAUCCUCAAUGUAAUUAUUAUAUCCUAAACUCUAAAUCCUAACCCCUUCAUAUGUGUAUGCCAACUAAUCAACAAUAUAAUAGAGUAUUUAAAAAUAUAAUAUAUGUCAACUCAUCAAUAAUAUAAUAAAGUAUAUAAAAUAUAGCAUACAAGAUGUAACAGUAGAUCAUCUAUUGUGGGUAGCAUUUUAUUCCUUUUGGAGAAUUAUUUUUUAUAAAUGAUCGGACCAAUUUUUAUAACUACAAAAAUAGUCUUUUAAAAAAUAAUUUAUAAAAAAGACAUCUAAUAAGUCAAAUUAAAUUUUUUAAAAAAUAAAUAAUAUAGACAGUAAAUGAGUCACUGCAUUUAAAUACGGUAAAUUAUUCACCACUUUCAUAACUCCUUCUAAAAUCAACAAAUUAUUUUUAAAUAUGGUGAAUCGUUCCGCUUUUAUUAUCUUACUCUNUACACAAGAAAAACACAAAUCCAAAACCCUAAAAACAGCAGGAGCAACUACAGAUAAGCAAAAUUGUGUACUCACAUCAUCAACACAAAAGCUAAAUAGAGUUCAAACCCAAAGAUUACAUGAGAGAAACUCAAAAUUCUAAACCCUAAUUUAUGAAUCAACCAUUAAUAAAAGGCAUGAAGCUUCCUAUCUUUUUCCCUUCCAUAUUCUAUUAGAAAGGUUUAGGAGAUGAUGGAGUUGGGCAGGGUAGUCUGACCUUGCGAUGGCGACGGUGGGCGUCGGAUGGGAAGGAAGACAGCACGAUUUGCAGUCGGAUGAUCGAGCCGCCUGCCUUCCUUGUUCAGCUCGACGCAGAAGGCAGUCUCACGUUUGGCUCAAGAAAAGGAGCGAUGCCUUCCUUGUUUCACUCCAAAACUGGAAGGACAUGUUAUUUGGGUUAAUUGCAUACAGGUCCAUAUAAACAUAAUAAAUUACAAAUACAUUUCUACAAAAUUUAUUUUUCACAUGUUGUUUCUGUAAAAAUCAUGAUAUUUUCAAAUAUAUUCUUACUCUUAGAAAAAUUUAGUUAACCAUAGACUAAAUACUUAAUGACCUUUUUACCUGUCUUAAAUUAAUAAUUGGAACUUUUUGAAGGGCAAAUUUGUGAUGACAAAAAGGUCAUUUCACUUAUAAAAUAGAUGGACUUUAACAAUAACAAAUCAGAGGGACAUAUUUGAAAAUAUUAAGACUUUUAUAACGACAAUAUUUAAAAAUUAAACUUUAUAGGGAUAUAUUUGUAAUUCACUAUAUUUAUAAGGAUCUGUAUAAAAUUAACCCUUAUUAUUUAUUUAACUGUAAUUUUAUUUUCGUCAAAAUUUAAACUCUAGUAAUUAACUUUAGCCCAACUCAGGCCAAAAUCAAUUAUGAAAACAAAAAGUUGAAAAAAAAGAAAAAUACUAACUCAUAUUUCACACCUUUAACGUUUCCGUGCCAUUCGCUUUCUUUCAAAUAAAUAUCAGAACUGAAAAAAAAAUUUAGUUCCACCACCAUACAAAUAAAUAUCAAAAGAAAAUUAUUUUUUAUUUGAAUUUCAGUUUCAUUCAAAAGCCUACUUCAAUCUAAAUUUCAUUUUCAGUGAAACAAAUAGACAACAGGUGUAAGAAGGUAAAAUGUACAGAACAUAUCUCAAUUAUAGACCAUUUUAAAUUGACUAUCAAAUCUUUUAAAAUUUUAAUUUUAUUAUCCGAUCUGUUAAUUUGUUUGAUUGACUCUGUUAGCAAUACUUUAAUUUCAAAUUUUGAAUACGCCGUUAUCUUUACCAGUUCAAUUAGUAUACUUCAUACAAUUCUCGCUACUGUAAUUUUAUUAAAGUGAAUAGUUAACUUAAAUUUUGAGAUUAAAGGUUGCCAACUGACUUAAAUCAAACAAAUUGAAAGAUUAAAUAGUAAAUUCAAAAUUUUGAAUUUCAAGAUAAUACAUUAGGUCAGGUAAGUUAUACACUUGUUUAGCGUGCAAGAAUUACUCUCCACUCACUAAUAAAGGUUACUAUCUUCGUAGUAGUAUUAUUAACUUUUUUUUUUCUUUUAAUAUUAAAAAGAAUUUUGUGAACCCUAACACCCGUUUGGAUUGAAUAUAAAAUGGGGUAUAAAAGCCUUAUACCCCAUCUUGUAUCGUUUACAAACGCAAUUUGGUUAAGGUGGAAACUAUACGGAUUAUUCUAGAAAUAACCCGUUAAGGGUGGGAACUAUGGUUCUCACCCGAGUGGGAACAAGCUUAGGAACAAGCUUGUUCCCACCCACUUGGGUACAGAGAGAGAGAGAGAGAGAGUGAGUGAGUGAGGUUUGUUUUAAAAUAGAAUUUAAAUUUUUUAGAAUUUAAAAUAUGUAAUUUUAAAAUUAAAAUUGUAAAUCAUAAAUUCUAAAUUUUAAAGUUUAAAAUUUAAAUUUGAUAUUACAAAUUUUUAAAUUUUAAAUGUGAUAUUUUAACUAUUUCAAAUUUAAAUUUGGCCUUAAAUUUAAAUUUUAAAAUUUAUAAAUUUAAAAUUUUAAAUUCAAUUAUAGGGAUAAUAUUAUUAUUUUCUAUUUAUAAUCAUCAACUAUUUCUCUUAUUCCAAAUAACUAUCCAAAUAUAAUUUUUCUAAUUCCAGCUUAUACUAAUAUUUUAAUCCAAACAAAAAAAAAACCCUAAUUCUUACAAAAAUUCAUACUUAUACCUAUCCCUGGAAUAACUAGUUCCUACUAAUUUACGAACCAAACGAAGCCUAAAGGUUACUUCACAUUUAUAUAUGUAUUUAUUCUUAAAAUAUGCUCCUUCUCUCUCUCUCUCUCUCUCUCUCUCAAUAAAAGAAAGGAAAAACUUCAAAAACCCCCCUUGUGGUUUCGUAGUUUCUCACUUUGCCCCCCUGUGGUUUAAAGUGUAUCAAUUUGCCCCCUGUGGUUUCGUUUUUAUCUUUUCGGUAACUUUUUCGUUAAUAUUUUAUUAAAUUAUAUAUAAAAAAAAACUUCAGAUACUCAUCUAGAUUUAUCAAAUAUUCACUUUAGUACCCUUUAAUUUUAAUCUUAUCACUGAUU